GUGGUAGCAUAGUGGUUAAGAGGUAGGGUCAGUAACUGGGUGGUAGUCUAGAGGUUAAGCGGUAGGGUCAGUAACUGGGUGGUUAAGAGGUAGGGUCAGUAACUGGAUGGUAGCCUAGUGGUUAAGAGGUAGGGUCAGUAACUGGGUGGUAGUCUAGUGGUUAAGAGGUAGGGUCAGUAACUGGGUGGUUAAGAGGUAGGGUCAGUAACUGGGUGGUAGUCUAGUGGUUAAGAUGUAGGGUCAGUAACUGGGUGGUAGUCUAGUGGUUAAGAGGUAGGGUCAGUAACUGGGUGGUAGUCUAGUGGUUAAGAGGUAGGGUCAGUAACUGGGUGGUUAAGAGGUAGGGUCAGUAACUGGGUGGUAGUCUAGUGGUUAAGAGGUAGGGUCAGUAACUGAAAAGGCGCUGGUUCAAUUCCCUGAGCUGUCAAAAAAUGAAUCUGCUGUUUUGCCCAACAACA
Oncorhynchus tshawytscha (Chinook salmon) is the source of this 458-nucleotide long non-coding RNA. NCBI's taxonomy places the organism in Eukaryota, Metazoa, Chordata, Actinopteri, Salmoniformes, Salmonidae. The record is from Ensembl.